RNAcentral lists this ribosomal RNA (254 nucleotides) under uncultured bacterium. RNAcentral's name for it is "partial 16S ribosomal RNA". It matches the Rfam family "Bacterial small subunit ribosomal RNA", at positions 524 to 776 of the family's 1533-position model. The record is from RNAcentral.
UACGUAGGGGGCAAGCGUUGUCCGGAUUUACUGGGCGUAAAGGGCGGGUAGGCGGCCACCGCAAGUCAGUUGUGAAAUCUCCGGGCUUAACCCGGAAAGGUCAACUGAUACUGCGGGGCUAGAGUGCAGAAGGGGCAACUGGAAUUCUCGGUGUAGCGGUGAAAUGCGUAGAUAUCGAGAGGAACACCUGCGGCGAAGGCGGGUUGCUGGGCUGACACUGACGCUGAACUGCGAAAGCUAGGGGGGCGAACGGG